CAACUGAUAGUAUUACAAUAUGGUGGAAUAUCAAUGAAGAUGUUACAUUACACUAUCCUCCAGUACAUUACAUUGUUAGUGUACACAAUAUUACUAUUAAUACAACUGAUACUAAUGUAACUAUUAAUGGACUAUAUCCCAAUAAUGAAUAUACUGUAUACAUAAAACCAGUUAAUGCUAUUGGAGAGGGACCACUGAUUAACAUUACAGUAGUUACAGUUCAUAUCACUGAGCAACAGUCAAUUUCAACAACAACAACAACCACUUUCACUGGUAAUGAUAUGAUGCAUGUAUAUUAUAUUUGUUAUAGUUUCAGCUACAGAAAGUUCAUCUGAUGCUACCACCAGUAGCAGCGAUGACUCAAUAUCAAUAUCUAUGAUGAUCAUUGAUGAUAAAUUAUUGUCUUCAAGUAGCAUAGA
Long non-coding RNA from Amphimedon queenslandica, 419 nucleotides. RefSeq lists it as uncharacterized. The transcript has 3 exons. The record is from RefSeq and is a predicted model, not a curated record. Lineage: Eukaryota; Metazoa; Porifera; Demospongiae; Haplosclerida; Niphatidae.